GGCUCGGUGGCGGAUGGUCCACGUCUGCUUUCCAUUGUCCACGGGGACUACUUCAUGGCUUUGCAGAAAACGCUCGUUCGAUUCGGGCCUGAGCCA
Mycena vulgaris is the source of this 96-nucleotide non-coding RNA. Lineage: Eukaryota; Fungi; Basidiomycota; Agaricomycetes; Agaricales; Mycenaceae. The record is from the annotation of a GenBank genome assembly.